This is a long non-coding RNA of Harmonia axyridis, 7456 nucleotides long. RefSeq lists it as uncharacterized. The record is from RefSeq and is a predicted model, not a curated record. Lineage: Eukaryota; Metazoa; Arthropoda; Insecta; Coleoptera; Coccinellidae. The transcript is spliced from 2 exons.
CCAAUGAUCCUGCCAAUUCUUGUUGCGUUUGACACGAGUCUUGAUCAAGUGAUGCCUCCAAUUCUGCAUCUUCGGAAACCUUCUUUCUUCCAUCGCCAUGCUAGUCUUCGACGUCAAAAUCACACGUUCCUUCACUAAUAUCGGCCUCACCAUGAGCAUUCGAUGAGCCUCAGCCGCAGAUUUCUUUAUAUUAAAGUAGAAUAUUAUAACUUACCGCAAUAAUCGAGAAUAACUUUAUGAUGCAGUCACAAAUCGACUAAUAUUUCGAUGGCGUUAUGUUUACGAAUACCUAAGCUUAUUGUAUGACAUCUGUUUCGCUACAGGCAUCUAUUGCAAAACGGUGGAAGCAAAGUUGUAGGAACACCUAAUAUUUCCGGUGUUAUCGGAUCAUCCUUUACGUAAACAUGAUAUUUUUUGUUUUCGUCACCUCAAAGAAUUAAUUCAUAAUAUUCAUGACAAAUGAACCUCAAUUUAAAUUUAUUGUUUUUCAUUUUUCUUUUAUUUUUUGGUUGAAUGUGAGCUUGUAAUAUGAAAUUCAGUUUCACUGUUUGUUGUCUCUGUUCUGAUUGUUGUCUCUGUUCUGUUUGUUGUCUCUGUUCUGUGUUCAUAGGAAAAUGAAAACCAUAGACCUAAUAUCCAUUAUAUUAGGAUAUUAGGUCUAUGAUGAAAACACAUUAACCUCAAUUACUUAGUUAGUCUUGAGAUAGCAUCGACAUCAAUCGCGAUCACAUAUGUUUCCAUACUGAAAAUAAGUAGGUAUUUUUCUUGAUUCGAUUUGGUUUCGUUUCGUUUUCUGCUUCCUCAGUUUCGGUUAUAACGAAGUUAAUUUCGAUACACAGUGUCGAUGUUGAUUAUUGUUACCAGUGGCUUGGAUUAUAGAAACCACAAGUAUAAGUCAAAUUCUUCGUGUCCAUGAUAGUUUGUCGGGCUCCAUUACUCUGUUUAUGGUCAUUGGAGACACCAUCCAAGAUCCACCUCAACUCAACUUGCUGAUGAAGAACCAGACUCUGACAACUCAAUGCUCUAACUGCAAACUAUCAGCUAACGAGCUAGUGGGCAGCAGCUGAUGGUCCAUUCUUUGAGGCUACAAAGUUUGUGGACUAUGUGGAUGUGAGUGUCGAUCCAUAAGCUACGGAUGCAUCUAACAACCCGAAGGCAUACCUCCCAUCAUCUCAUCACCUAACGUAUUUUGCGGUGUCACCCUCUUCUCUUUUUCUUGCCUAUUGCAAAACCAAACUCUCACAACUUGAUUCUAUAACUGCAAACUAUCAGCUAACGAGCUAGUGGGCAGCAGCUGAUGGUCCAUUCUUUGAGGCUACAAAGUUUGUGGACUAUGUGGAUGUGAGUGUCGACCCAUAAGCUACGGGUGCAUCUAACAACCCGAAGGCAUACCUCCCAUCUUCUCAUCACCUAACGUAUUUUGCGGUGUCACCCUCUUCUCUUUUUUUUGCCUAUUGCAAAACCAAACUCUCACAACUUGAUUCUCUAACUGCAAACUAUCAGCUAACGAGCUAGUGGGCAGCAGCUGAUGGUCCAUUCUUUGAGGCUACAAAGUUUGUGGACUAUGUGGAUGUGAGUGUCGACCCAUAAGCUACGGAUGCAUCUAACAACCCGAAGGCAUACCUCCCAUCAUCUCAUCACCUAACGUAUUUUGCGGUGUCACCCUCUUCUCUUUUUCUUGCCUAUUGCAAAACCAAACUCUCACAACUUGAUUCUAUAACUGCAAACUAUCAGCUAACGAGCUAGUGGGCAGCAGCUGAUGGUCCAUUCUUUGAGGCUACAAAGUUUGUGGACUAUGUGGAUGUGAGUGUCGAUCCAUAAGCUACGGAUGCAUCUAACAACCCGAAGGCAUACCUCCCAUCAUCUCAUCACCUAACGUAUUUUGCGGUGUCACCCUCUUCUCUUUUUCUUGCCUAUUGCAAAACCAAACUCUCACAACUUGAUUCUAUAACUGCAAACUAUCAGCUAACGAGCUAGUGGGCAGCAGCUGAUGGUCCAUUCUUUGAGGCUACAAAGUUUGUGGACUAUGUGGAUGUGAGUGUCGACCCAUAAGCUACGGGUGCAUCUAACAACCCGAAGGCAUACCUCCCAUCUUCUCAUCACCUAACGUAUUUUGCGGUGUCACCCUCUUCUCUUUUUUUUGCCUAUUGCAAAACCAAACUCUCACAACUUGAUUCUCUAACUGCAAACUAUCAGCUAACGAGCUAGUGGGCAGCAGCUGAUGGUCCAUUCUUUGAGGCUACAAAGUUUGUGGACUAUGUGGAUGCGAGUGUCGACCCAUAAGCUACGGGUGCAUCUAACAACCCGAAUGCAUACCUCCCAUCAUCUCAUCACCUAACGUAUUUUGCGGUGUCACCCUCUUCUCUUUUUUUUGCCUAUUGCAAAACCAAACUCUCACAACUUGAUUCUCUAACUGCAAACUAUCAGCUAACGAGCUAGUGGGCAGCAGCUGAUGGUCCAUUCUUUGAGGCUACAAAGUUUGUGGACUAUGUGGAUGCGAGUGUCGACCCAUAAGCUACGGGUGCAUCUAACAACCCGAAGGCAUACCUCCCAUCUUCUCAUCACCUAACGUAUUUUGCGGUGUCACCCUCUUCUCUUUUUUUUGCCUAUUGCAAAACCAAACUCUCACAACUUGAUUCUCUAACUGCAAACUAUCAGCUAACGAGCUAGUGGGCAGCAGCUGAUGGUCCAUUCUUUGAGGCUACAAAGUUUGUGGACUAUGUGGAUGCGAGUGUCGACCCAUAAGCUACGGGUGCAUCUAACAACCCGAAGGCAUACCUCCCAUCAUCUCAUCACCUAACGUAUUUUGCGGUGUCACCCCCUUCUCUUUUUCUUGCCUAUUGCAAAACCAAACUCUCACAACUUGAUUCUCUAACUGCAAACUAUCAACUAACGAGCUAGUGGGCAGCAGCUGAUGGUCCAUUCUUUGAGGCUACAAAGUUUGUGGACUAUGUGGAUGCGAGUGUCGACCCAUAAGCUACGGGUGCAUCUAACAACCCGAAUGCAUACCUCCCAUCAUCUCAUCACCUAACGUAUUUUGCGGUGUCACCCCCUUCUCUUUUUCUUGCCUAUUGCAAAACCAAACUCUCACAACUUGAUUCUCUAACUGCAAACUAUCAGCUAACGAGCUAGUGGGCAGCAGCUGAUGGUCCAUUCUUUGAGGCUACAAAGUUUGUGGACUAUGUGGAUGCGAGUGUCCACCCAUAAGCUACGGGUGCAUCUAACAACCCGAAGGCAUACCUCCCAUCAUCUCAUCACCUAACGUAUUUUGCGGUGUCACCCUCUUCUCUUUUUCUUGCCUAUUGCAAAACCAAACUCUCACAACUUGAUUCUCUAACUGCAAACUAUCAGCUAACGAGGUAGUGGGCAGCAGCUGAUAGUCCAUUCUUUGAGGCUACAAAGUUUGUGGACUAUGUGGAUGCGAGUGUCGACCCAUAAGCUACGGGUGCAUCUAACAACCCGAAGGCAUACCUCCCAUCAUAUCAUCACCUAACGUAUUUUGCGAUGUCACCCCCUUCUCUUUUUCUUGCCUAUUGCAAAACCAAACUCUCACAACUUGAUUCUCUAACUGCAAACUAUCAGCUAACGAGCUAGUGGGCAGCAGCUGAUGGUCCAUUCUUUGAGGCUACAAAGUUUGUGGACUAUGUGGAUGCGAGUGUCGACCCAUAAGCUACGGGUGCAUCUAACAACCCGAAGGCAUACCUCCCAUCAUAUCAUCACCUAACGUAUUUUGCGAUGUCACCCCCUUCUCUUUUUCUUGCCUAUUGCAAAACCAAACUCUCACAACUUGAUUCUCUAACUGCAAACUAUCAGCUAACGAGCUAGUGGGCAGCAGCUGAUGGUCCAUUCUUUGAGGCUACAAAGUUUGUGGACUAUGUGGAUGCGAGUGUCGACCCAUAAGCUACGGGUGCAUCUAACAACCCGAAGGCAUACCUCCCAUCAUAUCAUCACCUAACGUAUUUUGCGAUGUCACCCCCUUCUCUUUUUCUUGCCUAUUGCAAAACCAAACUCUCACAACUUGAUUCUCUAACUGCAAACUAUCAGCUAACGAGCUAGUGGGCAGCAGCUGAUGGUCCAUUCUUUGAGGCUACAAAGUUUGUGGACUAUGUGGAUGCGAGUGUCCACCCAUAAGCUACGGGUGCAUCUAACAACCCGAAGGCAUACCUCCCAUCAUCUCAUCACCUAACGUAUUUUGCGGUGUCACCCUCUUCUCUUUUUCUUGCCUAUUGCAAAACCAAACUCUCACAACUUGAUUCUCUAACUGCAAACUAUCAGCUAACGAGGUAGUGGGCAGCAGCUGAUAGUCCAUUCUUUGAGGCUACAAAGUUUGUGGACUAUGUGGAUGCGAGUGUCGACCCAUAAGCUACGGGUGCAUCUAACAACCCGAAGGCAUACCUCCCAUCAUCUCAUCACCUAACGUAUUUUGCGGUGUCACCCUCUUCUCUUUUUCUUGCCUAUUGCAAAACCAAACUCUCACAACUUGAUUCUCUAACUGCAAACUAUCAGCUAACGAGGUAGUGGGCAGCAGCUGAUAGUCCAUUCUUUGAGGCUACAAAGUUUGUGGACUAUGUGGAUGCGAGUGUCGACCCAUAAGCUACGGGUGCAUCUAACAACCCGAAGGCAUACCUCCCAUCAUCUCAUCACCUAACGUAUUUUCCGGUGUCACCCUCUUCUCUUUUUCUUGCCUAUUGCAAAACCAAACUCUCACAACUUGAUUCUCUAACUGCAAACUAUCAGCUAACGAGCUAGUGGGCAGCAGCUGAUGGUCCAUUCUUUGAGGCUACAAAGUUUGUGGACUAUGUGGAUGCGAGUGUCGACCGAUAAGCUACGGGUGCAUCUAACAACCCGAAGGCAUACCUCCCAUCAUCUCAUCACCUAACGUAUUUUGCGGUGUCACCCUAUUCUCUUUUUCUUGCCUAUUGCAAAACCAAACUCUCACAACUUGAUUCUCUAACUGCAAACUAUCAGCUAACGAGCUAGUGGGCAGCAGCUGAUGGUCCAUUCUUUGAGGCUACAAAGUUUGUGGACUAUGUGGAUGUGAGUGUCGACCCAUAAGCUACGGGUGCAUCUAACAACCCGAAGGCAUACCUCCCAUCAUCUCAUCACCUAACGUAUUUUGCGGUGUCACCCUAUUCUCUUUUUCUUGCCUAUUGCAAAACCAAACUCUCACAACUUGAUUCUCUAACUGCAAACUAUCAGCUAACGAGCUAGUGGGCAGCAGCUGAUGGUCCAUUCUUUGAGGCUACAAAGUUUGUGGACUAUGUGGAUGUGAGUGUCGACCCAUAAGCUACGGGUGCAUCUAACAACCCGAAGGCAUACCUCCCAUCAUCUCAUCACCUAACGUAUUUCGCGGUGUCACCCUCUUCUCUUUUUCUUGCCUAUUGCAAAACCAAACUCUCACAACUUGAUUCUCUAACUGCAAACUAUCAGCUAACGAGCUAGUGGGCAGCAGCUGAUGGUCCAUUCUUUGAGGCUACAAAGUUUGUGGACUAUGUGGAUGUGAGUGUCGACCCAUAAGCUACGGGUGCAUCUAACAACCCGAAGGCAUACCUCCCAUCAUCUCAUCACCUAACGUAUUUUGCGGUGUCACCCUAUUCUCUUUUUCUUGCCUAUUGCAAAACCAAACUCUCACAACUUGAUUCUCUAACUGCAAACUAUCAGCUAACGAGCUAGUGGGCAGCAGCUGAUGGUCCAUUCUUUGAGGCUACAAAGUUUGUGGACUAUGUGGAUGUGAGUGUCGACCCAUAAGCUACGGGUGCAUCUAACAACCCGAAGGCAUACCUCCCAUCAUCUCAUCACCUAACGUAUUUUGCGGUGUCACCCUAUUCUCUUUUUCUUGCCUAUUGCAAAACCAAACUCUCACAACUUGAUUCUCUAACUGCAAACUAUCAGCUAACGAGCUAGUGGGCAGCAGCUGAUGGUCCAUUCUUUGAGGCUACAAAGUUUGUGGACUAUGUGGAUGUGAGUGUCGACCCAUAAGCUACGGGUGCAUCUAACAACCCGAAGGCAUACCUCCCAUCAUCUCAUCACCUAACGUAUUUCGCGGUGUCACCCUCUUCUCUUUUUCUUGCCUAUUGCAAAACCAAACUCUCACAACUUGAUUCUCUAACUGCAAACUAUCAGCUAACGAGCUAGUGGGCAGCAGCUGAUGGUCCAUUCUUUGAGGCUACAAAGUUUGUGGACUAUGUGGAUGUGAGUGUCGACCCAUAAGCUACGGGUGCAUCUAACAACCCGAAGGCAUACCUCCCAUCAUCUCAUCACCUAACGUAUUUUGCGGUGUCACCCUAUUCUCUUUUUCUUGCCUAUUGCAAAACCAAACUCUCACAACUUGAUUCUCUAACUGCAAACUAUCAGCUAACGAGCUAGUGGGCAGCAGCUGAUGGUCCAUUCUUUGAGGCUACAAAGUUUGUGGACUAUGUGGAUGUGAGUGUCGACCCAUAAGCUACGGGUGCAUCUAACAACCCGAAGGCAUACCUCCCAUCAUCUCAUCACCUAACGUAUUUCGCGGUGUCACCCUCUUCUCUUUUUCUUGCCUAUUGCAAAACCAAACUCUCACAACUUGAUUCUCUAACUGCAAACUAUCAGCUAACGAGCUAGUGGGCAGCAGCUGAUGGUCCAUUCUUUGAGGCUACAAAGUUUGUGGACUAUGUGGAUGUGAGUGUCGACCCAUAAGCUACGGGUGCAUCUAACAACCCGAAGGCAUACCUCCCAUCAUCUCAUCACCUAACGUAUUUCGCGGUGUCACCCUCUUCUCUUUUUCUUGCCUAUUGCAAAACGAAACUCUCACAACUUCAUUCUCUAACUGCAAACUAUCAGCUAACGAGCUAGUGGGCAGCAGCUGAUGGUCCAUUCUUUGAGGCUACAAAGUUUGUGGACUAUGUGGAUGCGAGUGUCGACCCAUAAGCUACGGGUGCAUCUAACAACCCGAAGGCAUACCUCCCAUCAUCUCAUCACCUAACGUAUUUCGCGGUGUCACCCUCUUCUCUUUUACUUGCCUAUUGCAAAACCAAACUCUCACAACUUCAUUCUCUAACUGCAAACUAUCAGCUAACGAGCUAGUGGGCAGCAGCUGAUGGUCCAUUCUUUGAGGCUACAAAGUUUGUGGACUAUGUGGAUGCGAGUGUCGACCCAUAAGCUACGGGUGCAUCUAACAACCCGAAGGCAUACCUCCCAUCAUCUCAUCACCUAACGUAUUUCGCGGUGUCACCCUCUUCUCUUUUUCUUGCCUAUUGCAAAACCAAACUCUCACAACUUGAUUCUCUAACUGCAAACUAUCAGCUAACGAGCUAGUGGGCAGCAGCUGAUGGUCCAUUCUUUGAGGCUACAAAGUUUGUGGACUAUGUGGAUGUGAGUGUCGACCCAUAAGCUACGGGUGCAUCUAACAACCCGAAGGCAUACCUCCCAUCAUCUCAUCACCUAACGUAUUUCGCGGUGUCACCCUCUUCUCUUUUUCUUG